Long non-coding RNA from Gallus gallus (chicken), 4119 nucleotides. RefSeq lists it as uncharacterized. The transcript is spliced from 3 exons. NCBI's taxonomy places the organism in Eukaryota, Metazoa, Chordata, Aves, Galliformes, Phasianidae. The record is from RefSeq and is a predicted model, not a curated record.
AACACUUGCUGCUUCAGUGUAUGGCUUAUCCAGUGAUCACACCAAUGGGUGGGGCCAUACGUAUGCUUGUUUUCCAAACAGCUAAAUCAUGGCUGAAACUAAAUCAAAGGCAAACUUUCACUGCCUUCAAUACUGAAGAAUUUGGAUUUAAAUACGAUCAGUUGGCUAAAAGCAGCAAGGCGAGGUCACAGUGCUUCUGUACCUUCCAAUAUCAAGUGACAGCAGAUUCCCACAUCUUCCAUUAUUUUAGCAAUAAAGCAAAGAUUCCUGUUGACUGUGAUCACUUUAUAAGAAUGCUUUUCAGAGCCGUCAGGAUUGUGCAGAAAGAUCAUGUGCUGGGCUUGCUGUGGAGCAUGAAGAGGAGGAGGGAAAGGACUGGAAGAAGACAAGUGAGAACCUCACAGUUGAAAAAACUGAGUGCUGAUGUGAGAAACUGGAUUCUCUAUCUGUUGCUGCCACAGAAUUCCUAUACAUUGCUAGGAAAGCUGCCUAAACACACUUUUAACAAUAACUGAGAUGCUGAUGUAUCUGAUACUUGAAGUGGCAAGUUGAGUUAAGGGAUCCUCACUUAAAAAUUUGAAGUUGUCAGAAAUACUGAAUUCCUUUGAAAUUCAGUAUGAAGUUUUUUUUCACCCGAGGAAAGAAACUCAGUAGACAUUUCUGACUUUUAAAAAUAUCCUUAACUCUCCACCCGUAUUCAGAUACCGCAGAAAGUGCAUACCCUCAAGAAACACACAAAGAAACCAAUGCAUCUAGCUUUAUGGAAGGGUUUGGAAAGUGUCAGAUGGUUAAAAUUUUUAAGAGAGAAAGGACCACAAAAUGAAUGAGGCAUAUCUCCUAAAGAAAGAAAAUAAUUUGAUCACGUAAUAAAACCCCAUGUUGUUAUGCCUACACUUUGAAGUCCAAAUUAAUUUUGCACAGACAACUUUAAUUGUGGCCUUUUCUGAUGUACCAGUUUCGAACUUUGCUUUCCAAAAUUGGCUUCUGUGUGAACAAGUGUAAAAUAGAGUAGGCUGGCCCUACUGUAGUAGCUCUUUUACUUGAGAUACUACAUAGUACUUGAGGUAGUAAAUAAAAACAUCUGAAAAAGCCUUCAUAAUUACAAACUAAGAUUGUUUAUUAAAUCCUUUUUUAAAAAUUAAUUUUAUUUAAUUUUAAAAAUUAACUAAGAUUGUUUAUCAAAUCUUAACACUUUCAUAGACUGUAUCAUGUCCAGAAUAAGUUUUUAAUUAUUUAAUGUAUUAGUUUUAGCCUUUGGAAGUGCUAACUUGUUUGGAGCUCUGGAGCCUGUAGAUCACAUUUCGGCAUUGAUAUUUUUCCCAACUGAAAGUUACUUCUGUAACUGUACAUGGGUUUGCAAAGCUUAUAGUAUUUUUCUCCAGUCUUGUAUAUUGUAUGAGGUCUCUCUUGCAGGAAUAUAGUGUAAUGCAGUGUAUUCACCUGAGGGGAUGGUAAAGGAUGUUAAAACAAAUGCUGAUAACACUGUGGAUUGAAAAAUACCUUUUUCACAUACAUGCUAGCAGAUAUUCAUUUACAUUUGGUGUCAUAAUAAAGUUAGCUUUGUGGAUCCAGAAGAAAGUAUCUUGCCUGACAAUUUCUGCAUCCCUUGUUCCAUAAGAAUACAUCCAGAGUGUGCAAGGGGGUGUUCACACAGAUAUGCUUCUCUCUGGUCGUGGCUCCUUUGGGUUUCUAGUCAAAUCCACUGCUUCCUGAGGACCCACCACUGCUCGAGAGCAAAGCUUCAUCUGCUUCCAGAGCUCUGUUACAAUGGGCUUUUAUCUGUGUUGAGCUGGGACCAGGAUGCCAGCUCCAGUGAUGGGAAGUUAGACUUCCCUAAGCAUCCAGACCAGAGGCGGUUUCCUUUGCAGCUCUACCACUACCAUUAAGGGACCUACAAGUCCUCAAAUGGCUUCUGUAUACCAUCAAUUACACCAGAUUAUUGCUAGAAAAUCAAAAGCAUAUGAGAGAGACAGAACUGUAAGAUCUGACCUCUUCCAAAAGUAGAGAAAACAAACAAAACCAAACAAAAGAGAGAGCAGUGAAUAUGACUCUUUGGGGAAAUGAGAAUGUAAACUUGCCUUUUAACUUCAACAAUAUCUUUUAAGGAGAAAGGAACAUUUUGUCUUCAGAGCAAAUUCUGUAACCUUCAUUUAACCAGUAAAAAAUGACUGAGGUGGGCAAGAUUAUGAAGGUGAAGUUCUGACAGAUAUUCUUCCAUCCCUGCUAGGACAAAGGUUAUGCUCUCGUCUUUUGUGUUCCCUGCCAUUUUCUUCCAGACAGCUGAACCAUUCCUUCUCUAAGGUCUCUUUGGUCUGGGGCCCCUAAAAGCUCAUAUAACAUCUUCAGCAGAUUUGUGUUUCUUUUCUCUAUCCCCCCCUCUCCCUCCACAUUUUUUUUUUUCUUUUUUCUUUUUCUCAUUUCUCUCACUGAAACUGGUUUUGAGCUUCUUUAAGGUCUCGAGGUGGGCAAGCUUAUAAAAUUGUGGCAGCAGCAACAGCCUUGAAGAGGAUACAAUAACACUGUACAUCUGCUACAAUGUUCUUAAGUAUUUGCGGCAUGCUGGUUUAAGCCUGUCAGUUUUUGUAAGGGCUACCUGUUACAAUGCACCUAAUUAGCUUACCGGCUAUUUGGAGACAGCUCUACUGGUUUUUCUAUCAUCCAGUCUUUAUUAAGUGAGCUGUUUCUGAGACGAAUAGGUUCUUUAUAAUGAUGAGGUCCUUUUUACGCUUAUUAGUCCUUAAAGCAAGCCUCUUCUUAUAGAACAAAGUUCUCUCUCUCUCCCUCUCUUCCUCUCUCUCAUUUUUUUUUCCUUAGGACUUAGACUGGAAGAAGUGAAGCAGCCUUCUUCUUCUUCUUUUUCUUUUUCUUUUUUUUUUUUUUUCCCUUCUGCUGGAGUAUUUUAUUAAAAGUUUUAGUGGCUGCACUAAGAGCAAGGUGCCUGCGCCUUUAAUCAUUUUCAUCUUUAAAACAGAACCUUAUAUUUUCACAUCUUCAGCUGUCCCAGAGGGCAGCUAGGCCAUCUUUAACAACAUUAAUUUCUCUUUAUGACAGGACUAGUGCUGCCCCAGGUCUUCAGAACUGCCUAAAAUGUCUGGAAAAGUAGAUAAUGAAGAGGAUAUUAGAAUUGUAAACAAGAACAAUUUGGUAAUAAAAACCAUAUAUUUUCUCCAUAGGACUUUGGGCUUAAUAUUGCAGCAGCAAAAGUGUCACGAGUCAUAAUUUGUUGAUGGCCACUGUACAUUAGUUACUGUAGGAGCAUGUGCGUAAAGGGCAAGAACUAUUGGCUUUGCAUUAAAGAACAUCUAAGUCAGGUAAUUCUAAUUUACUUGUUUUGAUCUCUUUCUAAUCUCUUUUGUUUGCUUUUAUCACAGUGUGAUUUCAAACACACAGACACACACAUGAAAGAAAAAAUAAGAAAAAGAAGAAAUAAAAAAAAGAAAUAAAGAGAAAAGAUCCACUUCUGCACUGUAAGCCCCACAGCUGGUGAGUAAAAUCUGCUCUCUGUAACUGGGAGAACUGGGCAGGCCCCUCGGCCAUGCUGUUCACCUGGAGUGGAGCAUUCCAGCCCCAGGGAUCUGCCUCACCUCUGCUGCUCUGCAGAGUGCUGCAGAUUCCUGAGCAGGGAGCCAGCUGGAGGACUGAAAUGCUGCUAUCUUCACUGGUACGAUUAUGUAUUUUACUAGCUGCACAUCCCUGCUUCUGCCUACCCAUACAUCCUUUAUUGCUGACAGGGUUUAUGAGUGUAAUAUGAUGGAGUAAGAAACAGUAGAUUUUUCCCCAGAAGCUGAGCACAGCUCUUUGUCCGCAGAGAAUGUGGGAGGGCAGUAUAAAAUGGUAAGCAUUGUAAUCUGCAGAUGUCAUAAACAGGGCUAUCUUUUCAUCUUAAGGUGUACAGCCACCGAGAAAGUUCAUGCUAUACUUAACCUUUGGCCCUCUGCUGAUCUUUUGUUGCUCUGCAUUAGUGUGCUGAAACCUGAAAACAUAAUCCUUACAAUACCUACCACCUUUCAGCAGUAUGGUUUUCCUUCAUAAUUUGCAUUGGCUGCGGCUAGCAGCCUGAACCGUCCAGCUUCCUUCACCAGAUUUUAGACUUACUGCAUUGGAGAAGGAAAAAAAAAA